RNAcentral lists this transfer RNA (73 nucleotides) under Ictidomys tridecemlineatus (thirteen-lined ground squirrel). Its description in RNAcentral is "Spermophilus tridecemlineatus (thirteen-lined ground squirrel) tRNA". It matches the Rfam family "tRNA". From Rfam's summary of the family: Transfer RNA (tRNA) molecules are approximately 80 nucleotides in length. Their secondary structure includes four short double-helical elements and three loops (D, anti-codon, and T loops). The record is from Rfam by way of RNAcentral. Lineage: Eukaryota; Metazoa; Chordata; Mammalia; Rodentia; Sciuridae.
GGAGAUAUAGCUCAAUUGGUAGAAUGCUUGCCUUACAUGCACGAGGCCCUGGAUUCAAUCUCCAGCACCCCCA